This 266-nucleotide ribosomal RNA is filed under the name uncultured bacterium. RNAcentral's name for it is "partial 16S ribosomal RNA". It matches the Rfam family "Bacterial small subunit ribosomal RNA", at positions 92 to 354 of the family's 1533-position model. The record is from RNAcentral.
CGACCGGCGCACGGGUGAGUAACACGUAUGCAACCUGGCCGUGACAGAUGGAUAACCGGGAGAAAUCCCGCCUAAUACAACAUAAUGCCGGGAGGGGACAUCCCCUGCCGGUCAAAGGGGGCGACCCCGGUCAUGGAUGGGCAUGCGGCGCAUUAGGUAGUUGGUGGGGCAACGGCCCACCAAGCCGACGAUGCGUAGGGGUUCUGAGAGGAGGGUCCCCCACAUUGGAACUGAGACACGGUCCAAACUCCUACGGAAGGCAGCAG